AUGGAUUGCAAUACUACUCAUCUUGGCCAUCCUCUUAUUUUACCUGGUAAAAAUAGACCUGCAGCUUAUAAUUUUAUUAUUGAUAAGUUUAGAGCUAAACUUAAUUGCUACAAGGCUAACAGGUUGUCUCAUGCAGGAAGACUCACUCUUAUUAAAUCUGUUUUUGCCUCCCUUCCUGUGUAUUACAUGUCUAAUAUCCUUUUAAGUAAAUCCACCAUUAAUAAACUCACUUCCAUAAUUAGAAAGUUCUGGUGAACAGGUAUUGAUAAGGAUAAUGCUUCCAAAUCUAUCUGCUUUAGGGCUUGGGAUGAUAUUUGCAAACCUAUGCAUCAAGGUGGUCUAGGCAUUAGAGAUCUUUAUAUGAUGAAUAAGUCUAUGGUUGCUAUGAUGGCUUGGAGAGUUAUUAAGAGUCCUAAUUCUCUUCUAUUUGGAAAGUUCUCAAAGAAAAAUAUUUUCAUAACUCUUCUAUUUGGAAAGUGA
This 480-nucleotide ribosomal RNA is filed under the name Triticum aestivum (bread wheat). RNAcentral describes it as "partial small subunit ribosomal RNA". The record is from RNAcentral. Lineage: Eukaryota; Viridiplantae; Streptophyta; Magnoliopsida; Poales; Poaceae.